GACGAACGCUGGCGGCGUGCCUAAUACAUGCAAGUAGAACGCUGAAGCUUGGUGCUUGCACCGAGCGGAUGAGUUGCGAACGGGUGAGUAACGCGUAGGUAACCUGCCUGGUAGCGGGGGAUAACUAUUGGAAACGAUAGCUAAUACCGCAUAAGAGUAGAUGUUGCAUGACAUUUGCUUAAAAGGUGCAAUUGCAUCACUACCAGAUGGACCUGCGUUGUAUUAGCUAGUUGGUGAGGUAACGGCUCACCAAGGCAACGAUACAUAGCCGACCUGAGAGGGUGAUCGGCCACACUGGGACUGAGACACGGCCCAGACUCCUACGGGAGGCAGCAGUAGGGAAUCUUCGGCAAUGGACGGAAGUCUGACCGAGCAACGCCGCGUGAGUGAAGAAGGUUUUCGGAUCGUAAAGCUCUGUUGUAAGAGAAGAACGAGUGUGGGAGUGGAAAGUUCACACUGUGACGGUAUCUUACCAGAAAGGGACGGCUAACUACGUG
This 497-nucleotide ribosomal RNA is filed under the name uncultured bacterium. RNAcentral describes it as "partial 16S ribosomal RNA". It matches the Rfam family "Bacterial small subunit ribosomal RNA", at positions 28 to 507 of the family's 1533-position model. The record is from RNAcentral.